This is a transfer RNA of Oryctolagus cuniculus (rabbit), 72 nucleotides long. It matches the Rfam family "tRNA". From Rfam's summary of the family: Transfer RNA (tRNA) molecules are approximately 80 nucleotides in length. Their secondary structure includes four short double-helical elements and three loops (D, anti-codon, and T loops). The record is from Rfam. NCBI's taxonomy places the organism in Eukaryota, Metazoa, Chordata, Mammalia, Lagomorpha, Leporidae.
UCCCACAUGGCCUAGCGGUUAGGAUUCCUGGUUUUCAUCCAGGCGGCCUGGGUUUGACUCCUGGGGUGGGAA